UACGUAGGGUGCAAGCGUUUAAUCGGAAUUACUGGGCGUAAAGCGUGCGCAGGCGGUUAUGUAAGACAGUUGUGAAAUCCCCGGGCUCAACCUGGGAACUGCAUCUGUGACUGCAUAGCUAGAGUACGGUAGAGGGGGAUGGAAUUCCGCGUGUAGCAGUGAAAUGCGUAGAUAUGCGGAGGAACACCGAUGGCGAAGGCAAUCCCCUGGACCUGUACUGACGCUCAUGCACGAAAGCGUGGGGGAGCAAACAGG
Molecule: ribosomal RNA, 255 nt
Filed under: uncultured bacterium
Lineage: Bacteria
Description: partial 16S ribosomal RNA
Rfam family: Bacterial small subunit ribosomal RNA
Source: RNAcentral